Molecule: long non-coding RNA, 1290 nt
Organism: Musca domestica (house fly)
Lineage: Eukaryota; Metazoa; Arthropoda; Insecta; Diptera; Muscidae
Exons: 3
Source: RefSeq, a predicted model, not a curated record
UGUUAUUUUUUGCCAUUCAUUGUCUGGCUUGGCAUUCUUGUUUUCAUCUUCAACGAAGUUCUGAGUUUGCUUUUCAAAGCGACCUACUUCUUCUUGAAGUUCAUCUUCAUCCGUUUGAUAGGAGUCAGGUUUUUUGUUUAAUUGUAGUUUCAAAAAUUCUACAUCUUUUUUGAGUUGACUGCAAAGUUUCUCAUAUUUCUCAUUCCGUUCAGUAAGUUCGGCAUUAGCUUUCUCCAAUUGUUGCAAUUUAUUUAAUCGGAAAGAGCCAAUGCUGUUGCGUGGGGUUACUUCAUAAGGUACUCGAUCGGAAACAGGGUGACUCAUGUCGAUUUCGCUAUAGAGGUGUUUAUCUUAGACACACACCACAUAAGCACGACAUUACCGACCCAACACAAAUUCCGUACUUUACUUUUGGAAGCAACUCUGUGUUGUAAGGUGUAAAAAAAUACAGCUCCACAACCACUAUUUUGAAAGAAGCGACCAGCUGAUGUUGUAAAUUUGAUAAACAAAUAUUCAGCUGACUCCAAUAUUAUUUGUCUCUUUCAAAUUAAAUUUUGUUUGUUUUGCCAAUAAAACAAUUUAUUGGAAAUUUUAAAACUUUGAUUUGCGAAACACUCACCGUCGACGAUGACUAAACGUGGGUGAAAUUGUGUUCCUGAGGAAUUACUGCUCCAAUACAACAACAAUCCGCCAACUAUAAAUCGCUCUGAACGGUGAAAAUUUGAAGGUUUGUUGCAGCAACGAUUAACACGUCCGUCUGUUAUUUUGUCAUUUGUCUGUCGCUCAGCUUGCCUGCCUGUCGUAAGACGCCAAUAACCCCAAGAAACUUGUGAAGGACACAAAAGUCAGAUGGAAAUUAAAUAACGAGACACAGGUGAAUAAAUUGGCACACAGUCUGUGAUUAUGAUAAGGUGGAGGAGUAAUGUAACAAAAGGAUUUUAUAAAGUACGAACACCCAUUGACUCUUAUAAAGUUGAACAGGGAAAAUCAAGGUCCAUCAAGUAUUAUAUCUUUCCGUUCUUGGUAAUAACCAAAAACGGGAUGGCGCAGGAUAAACAAAUCAAUAGCUCAAUUUUUUAACAGAGUAUGAAGCGAUACGAGUAUAACCUGUAUAACAAGACAACAUAUUCUCGAGAUUCGAAUGCACACGGAUGCGGAUAUCAGCACCGUUUCAGCCUCUCAGCCUCUAGGUGUGGCGAAAGACUUCAAAAUGGAUGAACUUUACAUAGCAAAUUCCUGAAAAUAUAAUUGAAAAAUCUGACCAAAAUCACACACAACAACAUGGUUUUA